This 253-nucleotide ribosomal RNA is filed under the name uncultured bacterium. RNAcentral's name for it is "partial 16S ribosomal RNA". It matches the Rfam family "Bacterial small subunit ribosomal RNA", at positions 524 to 776 of the family's 1533-position model. The record is from RNAcentral.
UACGUAGGGGGCAAGCGUUGUCCGGAUUUAUUGGGCGUAAAGAGCGUGUAGGCGGCCUUGCAGGUCAGCUGUGAAAACUCGAGGCUCAACCUCGAGACGUCGGUUGAAACCGUAAGGCUAGAGUCCGGAAGAGGAGAGUGGAAUUCCUGGUGUAGCGGUGAAAUGCGUAGAUAUCAGGAGGAACACCGGUGGCGAAGGCGGCUCUCUGGACCACAACUGACGCUGAGGCGCGAAAGCUAGGGGAGCAAACAGG